Molecule: small RNA, 982 nt
Filed under: Histoplasma capsulatum
Lineage: Eukaryota; Fungi; Ascomycota; Eurotiomycetes; Onygenales; Ajellomycetaceae
Also listed under: 1 other name
Description: hypothetical RNA
Source: RNAcentral
GGCCCCCCAAACCAACCCCUAAUCUAUCCCUAAUCAAAGAAGUCACUUGUCUCCGGGGUUCAACAAAAAUCAGAACCCGUUCAGGUAUACCGGUGCCUGUGAGGCUAUCAGCCACGGAUUUUUGGGUGGUUUGCCGUAUCAGAAUCUGUCUGCCCCAGGACAGACUAGGAGUUGCUUGUCGCCUUGGGUUUCACCUGACGCUACUGCAUACACAACGACAGCGGCCAGGCAAUGUCAUGUCAACAGACACAAUUCGGCAGUCUCGAGGGGGCCUAGGCGGGUGGCGCACCAGGCGGGAGUCGGCCACACUCCCAUCCAUGCUUGUUAGUUAUUAGUUAUGCUGAUUGCGAUUCAUUGUGCAUUGAAUCCCCCGUGGGGUGAAGGUGAAGAAUGCGAGUUGGACGCUCAUGCGUGGAAAAUCGCCACGUGAGAAGGAUAAAACGCACUCGAAUAAUAUCUCAGAGAUGGGUUGGGUAAGGUCCCCCCCACCUUACCUUAAGGAUUGAUCUACCCCGUUCCGAAGCAAACCCGUGCAGUGCAUGGACUUUCUCAGCAGUGGAGGGGCAGAGGGUUGGUUCAGAUACCUGUCAGUCAAGGAGUAUACAACCAUUCAGAUGGGGAAAAGCAAUUGUUGCUGAUAUUCGCAUGUAUGGAGUUUUUGACAGAUUAGGGAUUGAGUCUCAUGGGUAGCUAGCCGAUUGUAGCAACUCGAUUUGGAAUGGAGAUGUAUGGAGAUGUAGCGGGCGCCUAGAAUCAGAUAUAGCCAGAUUUUUCCAGACACUGGCACUCUUAUCACGGUUUUGGACAGAAUUCCAGCCGCCCCUGUUGUAUACUCCGUGAAGAGUUGGCAAAAUGGCCGCAGAACAUGGACGUACUAGUACAAUAACUACAAUUACAGAGACACUAUCUAAAUACCUCUCUUGACUUUGGCAACGUUUAAUAACCGUCGAAAUCCUUAACAUAGUUCUUCUUGUCCUGGCAC